GAGGGGGACACACCCAGGGCCCAGGGGGGGCGCGGUAGGGCUUAGGGGCUGGGGGAGGGGAGGGCGGAGAAGGCGCUCAAAGUUCUUUUGUUUGAAAAUCGCAUCAGUUCCAGGGGGAAAACCUGGAUUUGUGACGUUUGAGCUGUCUCAAAGAGCAAAGAGCACCGGAUGAACCUGUAGCCCCACAGCCCGGGAGACCCAACUAGCAUAGGCCAUCACAGGCGCUGGACCUGGGACACAGAUGGUGUCCCACCAACGCGGCCACUUGAAGAUGGAGCCCCGAAAGAACGGCAGGGCCACCGUGCCCCGCUCAGCAGCAGGUGCAGCUGCGCACGGAGCUUUCAGGUACGCUCUCAGGCGAGCUGUCCAGCAGCAACGUGUCUGGCAAGCCUGGGAGGGAGCAGGGACGGGGAGCUCCACGACAAUGGGCGGGGUGGGGGGACUCUAAAUUCCACCCCACCUUACAGAAGAGGGGCAGAGAGGCUCGGCAAAGCUAAAGAGAUCGCCCAUGACCCUCAGAGGCACCAAGACUCAAACUCGGGGCAGCCUGACUCUGGGGUUACCCAGAGUGCAGUGGUCACUGAUACGGAACUGACCCUUCGCAGCUCGGGAGCAGAAGGCAAACCUGGGUCAGGAAUCCAGAAGAGAAAAUCAUCUCUGUCCUCCGAUUAACAGUGAAGGCAGAAUUCUAGCAGGACAGAUGCAAGCCGGUGGCCUGAGCACGGUUGGCCUGGUGAAGACACCCCCAGGCCUCGUAGGUCAGCUGCCUUCCCAGAACCUUCCGCUGCAGGACAAGGAUUCCCGGCGAGAUUGGGAACCCCCAGCCAGCCCCGCAGGACCAGCCGCCAACACCUACAAGUCCACCGCGACAAACUUGUCUGGAGCUGCGCCCCGCUUCGGAUUCUGGGAUGGACAGGGGCAAGCGCCAUCCCGAAACACGACCCAAAGUCCAGGCGUCUGGACACGGGAUCCCCCGCCCCGCGCGCAGAAUACCCCCACCCAAGAUGAGGGCUGGCGCCUCCCACUACCCCAAGUCCCGCGUGGACCACAGUGGGGGCAGAGGAGGGUCCUUACCGUGCAGGCCGUUGGGGAUGCUGCGGUGGUGCUGCGGCGCCGACAGGUCGUCCAGGGACCGGUGGGUGGCUCCCGCCUUGCCGUCUGGGGCCUUGUGCGGCCCGGGGGG
This 1183-nucleotide long non-coding RNA is filed under the name Fukomys damarensis (Damara mole-rat). RNAcentral describes it as "lncRNA (ENSFDAG00000032708.1)". Lineage: Eukaryota; Metazoa; Chordata; Mammalia; Rodentia; Bathyergidae. The record is from RNAcentral.